This 492-nucleotide ribosomal RNA is filed under the name uncultured bacterium. Its description in RNAcentral is "partial 16S ribosomal RNA". It matches the Rfam family "Bacterial small subunit ribosomal RNA", at positions 29 to 507 of the family's 1533-position model. The record is from RNAcentral.
AGUGAACGCUGGCGGUAGGCCUAACACAUGCAAGUCGAACGGCAGCACAGUAAGAGCUUGCUCUUACGGGUGGCGAGUGGCGGACGGGUGAGGAAUACAUCGGAAUCUACUUUUUCGUGGGGGAUAACGUAGGGAAACUUACGCUAAUACCGCAUACGACCUACGGGUGAAAGCAGGGGACCUUCGGACCUUGCGCGAUUGAAUGAGCCGAUGUCGGAUUAGCUAGUUGGCGGGGUAAAGGCCCACCAAGGCGACGAUCCGUAGCUGGUGUGAGAGGAUGAUCAGCCACACUGGAACUGAGACACGGUCCAGACUCCUACGGGAGGCAGCAGUGGGGAAUAUUGGACAAUGGGCGCAAGCCUGAUCCAGCCAUACCGCGUGGGUGAAGAAGGCCUUCGGGUUGUAAAGCCCUUUUGUUGGGAAAGAAAAGCAGCAGGUUAAUACCCCGCUGUUCUGACGGUACCCAAAGAAUAAGCACCGGCUAACUUCGUG